Molecule: non-coding RNA, 76 nt
Organism: Potamilus streckersoni
Lineage: Eukaryota; Metazoa; Mollusca; Bivalvia; Unionida; Unionidae
Source: the annotation of a GenBank genome assembly
AGCACUCCGGUGACCUAGUGGUUAGUGCGCCCGCCUCUGAUGCGGUAGGUCGUGGGUUCGAUUCCCAGUCGUGUUA